CAGCAGCCGCGGUAAAACGUAGGUGGCAAGCGUUGUCCGGAAUUAUUGGGCGUAAAGGGCUCGCAGGCGGUUUCUUAAGUCUGAUGUGAGAGCCCCCGGCUCAACCGGGGAGGGUCAUUGGAAACUGGGAAACUUGAGUGCAGAAGAGGAGAGUGGAAUUCCACGUGUAGCGGUGAAAUGCGUAGAGAUGUGGAGGAACACCAGUGGCGAAGGCGACUCUCUGGUCUGUAACUGACGCUGAGGAGCGAAAGCGUGGGGAGCGAACAGGAUUAGAUACCCCAGUAGUCCCUGUCUCUUAACA
This 301-nucleotide ribosomal RNA is filed under the name uncultured bacterium. RNAcentral describes it as "partial 16S ribosomal RNA". It matches the Rfam family "Bacterial small subunit ribosomal RNA", at positions 509 to 808 of the family's 1533-position model. The record is from RNAcentral.